Lagopus muta (rock ptarmigan) is the source of this 4609-nucleotide RNA transcript. It is a transcript of the gene named transmembrane protein 220, with no coding region annotated. The transcript is spliced from 4 exons. The record is from RefSeq and is a predicted model, not a curated record. Lineage: Eukaryota; Metazoa; Chordata; Aves; Galliformes; Phasianidae.
CAUCAAGUAUGUCUGUUAACCCAGCACUGCUAUGUCUCCUACUAAACUACGUCCUGAAGCACCGCAUCUGCACAUCUUCAAAAUACCUCCAGGGGUGGAGAGUUUGCAGUUCGCUUCACUGAAGUCUUACCGUGCACUUUUUCAUGUUUAUUUCCUCAGACAAUUAUCUACUUUUCCUUCCUGGUACACGAUUUAUUGCAGAAACACGAAAAUGCUGGCACGAGGGAUGUCAGGACGGCUCCAGUCCAUCACCCCACCCGCAGCAGGAUUAUCGGCACCAGCAGCCCAGAGCUCAGCCCAGCCAAGCCUCGGAAACCUCCAGGGUUUGAGGUCCCACAACCCGCCGAGACACCCGCUGCCGGCCGCGCGGCCCCGGCAGGACGAAGGGCGGCCGGCCCGCCCCCCGCCGGAGGCGGAGAGCCGUGCCGCCAUGGCGGGGCUGCCGUGGAGGCUCUGCAACCUUCUUAUGGCCGCCUUCUUCGGGCUGGCGGCCGUCGUGCAGGUGAACGAUCCCGACGCUGGGCUGUGGGUGGUGAGUACGGCCUGGAGCCCCGCGGGGCUGAACGUGGGGCCCUCGCUCUCGGCUAGCGGCAGAACGCGGAGCGCGCCGGUCCCGCCCGCCCCGUUUCGCCUGCGCUCGCCGGGGCUCACCGGCUCGGUUGGCUCCCGCCAGCGCGGGCCUCAGCGGGGAUCCCGAACUCUCAAGAAAGUUAAAGAAGACUCGCUCUCUUCUGUCUACUGCUGUCGUUCUCAGGAGCGGCCGCCAGUGGUCCUGGGGCGGCGUGAGCGGGGCUUGGAGCCGCAGCGGCCAGAGGUGUCCGUGGGUGGCGGGAGCCGCGGGUGGGUCCGUGCCCCUGCCGUGCCCCUGCGCUCCCCGCACAUCCCUUAAGCGGUGAGCCCAGCUGGCAGUGCCGAGGCCGGGAUGCAGGAACGGGGCUGCUGCUGUUCCCACCCGGCACGGUCGGGGAGUGGGGAGCAGUUCCUCGCAGGGCCUUUCCCGAGGGGAACCACAAUGCAACCUUGGAGCUGGAGCACGAGUUCUGGUGCUUGGCUGACCUCCUCCGGCUGUGUCACACAAGGAUUUUGGGUGGCAGGUUGUCUACUUGGUGCCGGCUGCCCUUACGCUGUUUGUUGUCCUUAACCCUUUGGUAACAGGUAUGAUAUCAGUGUGUAAAACAGAAUCUCUGCUCAGAUUUUGCCCCUGAAAAGUUUGUUUUCACUGAGUCACAGUUCAGGUUGUAUGGACAUGUGUCCUGCUACGUUUUGUGUGCAGAAAGCUGAGGGACCUGCUUCUGAUGAAGGUAGUAUUAGUAUUUGUGAUUGGAAAUGCUGCAAGCAAACACAGGAGCCCUACUUAAAGGGCUGCCACAGGGUUGGUCUUACCACUACACCUUUAUUUAAGCACUCAUGCAACAAAUGGAGCACAAUCCUGGGAGCAUGUUCUGAACCUGGCUCUGUUGUUGACCUUAGUACAUAGUUUAAUUCAUGCAGUCUCUCUGUUGUAAAGUUGGGUUUUUGCUUACCUGUGUCAUAUACAAGCUGUUAAGCUCUGUACAAUGCUUUGAGAGAGCUAAAGGUCUUUUUUAGUAUCAAGAACUACACCUGCUCCACACGGCACACAGGCAGUGGUGCUGAUGCUCGGAGAAGUCUGUGCAGUGACUGAGUUUCCAGUGUUGCACACUGAGGACUAACCUAUAUGAGGUGUUGAAAUAAUUGUUCAGAUCAGAUAUGGUCCAGGACUCCAGAAAAUAAGUUUUAAUUUUUAAAUGACUGUUACAGAAAAACGUAAGAAAACUCUCCAAACCAAAAGAUAGUUUAGAAAGCCAACACUUGUUUAUUGCAGUGCUGGGUGCAUGGGGAUCCUUCCAUAAAGCAUGCAUACCCCAGAGCUAGAUCACCCUCACUGUAUGCAAUAUUCAUGCACUGUAUGCAUGAAUAUUCAUACAAUUCCCAUGAAGUUCUUGCCUACUCUCAGGAUUGCCAUACAUGUUAAAUCCAACAUUGCACCUGCCCUGUUCAGUCAAGGGGUUCUUGCAAGGGAUCUCUUAGUUGGUUUCGUAGUUUACCUGUAGGUAGCACUGAUGUUGAAAUACACAGACUGCGCUUUGGAACUUCUUUCUCUCUUAGAUUGCCCCUUGUUGCCUUCCCACAGUGUUUGCACAAAGGGACCUGUUUUUUUGAAUUACAAACUGAAUUGUUUAAAUCUUUGGUAUCAUGACUAUUGUCAAUUAAAGUAACUGUAUCUUCUCUGAGUGAAUGUUUAAUCUGAUUUGAAACUACGCUUCUACCAGAAGAGAGAAUCUUCCGGAGUACAGUCAUUGUCACAAAUCACACCAUUACAAUUUUCUACCUUAAGCAUACAGUGUGGCACCAUUCAUAAAACCAGAACCUAUGAGAAUCGCUGCCUGCGUUUUCAGACGUUUCAGGGGAGGCUUGCAGUAGGUACAGCCUCAACAUAGUUGAGGCAUUCAACUGGUUAGGAGAAUCUGCAAGCUAAUUUACAGGUAUGUUACUUGCACCACAAUCUUUAGGAAAUCAAGAUUAAAACUGCACAACUGUUGUGUAAUUUGACAUUAUGUAAAUUCAACAAGUGGUCUUUGUCACUCAGGCCUAUGGAACCUCUAAUGCAGCCUCUGCAGAGCUGCAGUGAGUUUGGCCAAAUUAUUAGUUUAUAGUGUUAUUAUGAAGUUAGGUCACAACGAACUCUUGAAUUUUGGCAGCCCAUCAUUUUUCAUGCUUGCCUGGAGAAGUCAGUGCCUAGGAAAGACUGCUUUUGACUUCCCAGUGUUUGCUAUGGAUGUUGCUGAGAUCAUCUGGAGCUCAGCAUGUGCCAUUUCACCUCUCCUCCUCGAGGAAAUGGACAUGGAAAGCGAGAAGAAACUGUGGGUCCAUUCAGAUUUUUCAUGUCUCUGUUUCUCUCUCUAAAACAUUAGUCCCCAGCCCCGAGGCAGAGAUGUCAUGUUGCUCAUGGUCACUGGCAAAAGGUCAGAGGGGGGCUUGUCAGGGAGCAUGGAGGCAGAUGCUCCUUGUGCCAUGGCGUUAGCACUGCUGGUCAGAGCUGUGAGCGUGCACUCCAGAAGAGCUGUUUCUCCUAAUUAAGCAAACUCCCAUUUGUAAUCUGCCUUCUGAUUUUCUGUGCAUACUGAACGCUGGAACAUGUUUUGCUUGCUUAGGCUAACAGGAAACCGUUUUCUUUGCAGCACUGCUGCCAAGAAGUUGCAUUCCUGGGAAAGGAAGACCCCAGCUCGCUAGUGUACAAUUUCAGCAGCACUUUCUAGCAGCUUUCCAUAGUCAUACAUGGUAUUAAUUCUGUCUUCCUGCCUAGGGCAUAUGUGCUGCAGGCAUUUCUGUUAGCAGCUUAGUUACUCUUCAAUUCACAGAAUGUACUUCAUACUACAUUGCAGUUUCUGCCAGCUUAUUCUUUUCCUCAGAAAACUUUUUUUGGAGGAGCCUCUGUGACCUUCAUUCUGCUGGCUGUAUUAUUGGGGCCAUUUCCUUGGCUUACUCUUUGUUUGCAUAUACUCAAGGAAACAUCUUGCAUGAAGAGGAGGGCAGGUAAGUACUGAAUUCCCCUGAAAGACUUCGGUACACCAGGCUGUCUCCCAGUGGGUCACAUUGCUAAGCUCUGUUGGACUGCUGCAGUGGUGCUGUUGGUUCUGGUAAAUCAAACCAAGGAGGAAGGAAUACAGCAUUACAAACCAGCAAUUUGUUGGAUAAAAGGACUGAAAGGCAGCUGAAGGAUCAUGCCUGAAUCCUACCCAACUGAGGCAGCUAGAUUUAACUGGGGACAGUUCUGGCUUUCAGAGACCACAGCACAGUACUGUGAAAUAGCUGUGUGUUGUGCUACAGGAGCUGUACAAAUAGCAUUUAGUGGUAAAAACUCUUGAGGGGAUACCAUUUCUGUGCUUAACUGUCACAGGCUGCUGAGUCCUCUGAAUUGCUGGGUACCAAGGAGGAGGAAGGAUCUUUCACCUGGAUAUUCCCUUGAUUGCUUGGCUAAACUGGGUGCUUGCUCAGCAGAGGGGAAGCAGUAGCAGCUAGCACUUCUGUUUACAGUGAGGAGUAGUGCAGUGUUGCUUUGCUAUAUAUACUGAUGAGGGAAAUGUGCUAUAGAAGUUUAUUUUUAUAUUUAGUAUAUUUUUAUAUAGAAAAAAAGUUAUAUUUUCACUUAUUUUUUAUAGUUAAGUUUAUUUUUAUAUAUGUGGGUUUUUUUUUAAUAGAAGGGAUUUUUUAUAUUAAGUUUAGCAAUGGAACAAAAGCAGAAGCAGGAAUUUCUGCAGCUGUACAGCUGAGUUGUGUGUUUGUAGAUUUGAGGUGGGAAACAAUACUGUAAUUAUUUGAAGUGCAGUCCCUAUGACAUAUAUUUAACAUCUCCAAAGGGAGACAGCCCAUACUUACCCUAUUCUUUUGGAGGUAAUUUGCAUUUUUCAUAAGCAAGCAGAUGUUUCUGUUAUUUUCUGAUCUAGUUUUUGUUUGGCUUUCUAGAGAGUUGUUUGGUCUGGUGAUCAUUACAACAUGGAUGAGUCUUUGUCGCAGUUCAGCAAAGAAUCCGCUGGGUGGAAUUCAUCUGACUGCUGCGAUCUUGGUUGCUCUCUUCCCCUUCGUUUCA